Molecule: ribosomal RNA, 579 nt
Filed under: uncultured bacterium
Lineage: Bacteria
Description: partial 16S ribosomal RNA
Rfam family: Bacterial small subunit ribosomal RNA
Source: RNAcentral
UAAGGAAUAUUGGUCAAUGGACGCAAGUCUGAACCAGCCAUGCCGCGUGGAGGGUGAAGGCCCUCUGGGUUGUAAACUUCUUUUAUGGGGGACGAAAUCACUUAUUCUUAAGUGUCUGACGGUACCCCAGGAAUAAGCACCGGCUAACUCCGUGCCAGCAGCCGCGGUAAUACGGAGGGUGCAAGCGUUAUCCGGAUUCACUGGGUUUAAAGGGUGCGUAGGAGGGCAGGAAAGUCAGUGGUGAAAUCCUAGGGCUUAACUCUAGAACUGCCGUUGAUACUACUUGUCUUGAAUAUCGUGGAGGUGAGCGGAAUAUGUCAUGUAGCGGUGAAAUGCUUAGAUAUGACAUAGAACACCAAUUGCGAAGGCAGCUCACUACACGAAUAUUGACUCUGAGGCACGAAAGCGUGGGGAUCAAAACAGGAUUAGAUACCCUGGUAGUCCACGCCCUAAACUAUGGAUACUCGACAUACGCGAUACACUGUGUGUGUCUGAGCGAAAGCAUUAAGUAUCCCACCUGGGAAGUACGACCGCAAGGUUGAAACUUAAAGGAAUUGACGGGGUCAUAGCUGUUUCCUG